GUGGAGCCUGCGGCUUAAUUUGACUCAACACGGGAAAGCUCACCAGGCCCGGACACCAGAAGGAUUGACAGAUUAAGAGCUCUUUCUCGAUUUGGUGGGUGGUGGUGCAUGGCCGUUCUUAGUUGGUGGAGUGAUUUGUCUGGUUAAUUCCGAUAACGAACGAGACUCUGGCCUACUAACUAGUCGACGGGCGCUCUUGUGCAUGAGCCCCGUUCGAGUUACUCUUCUUAGAGGGAUUAGCAGCGAUUCUAGCUGCAGGAGAUUGAGCAAUAACAGGUCUGUGAUGCCCUUAGAUGUCCUGGGCCGCACGCGCGCUACACUGAAUGGGUCAGCGGGUGAUCCCGGCCCGAGAGGGUCGGGAAAUCUGUUGAAAACCAUUCGUGAUAGGGAUUGGGGCUUGGAAUUGUUGCCCAUGAACGAGGAAUUCCUAGUAAGCGCAAGUCAUCAGCUUGCGUUGAUUAAGUCCCUGCCCUUUGUACACACCGCCCGUCGCUACUACCGAUUGAAUGAUUUAGUGAGGCCUUCGGACUGGCUGUCUUGGAUACCUCGGCCCUAACCGGCCGGGGUCCUUUACGUGCCGGAAAGAUGUCCAAACUUGAUCAUUUAGAGGAAGUAAAAGUCGUAACAAGGUUUCC
This 635-nucleotide ribosomal RNA is filed under the name Cristimenes zanzibaricus. RNAcentral describes it as "SSU rRNA". It matches the Rfam family "Eukaryotic small subunit ribosomal RNA", at positions 1176 to 1804 of the family's 1831-position model. Lineage: Eukaryota; Metazoa; Arthropoda; Malacostraca; Decapoda; Palaemonidae. The record is from RNAcentral.